ACGUAGGAGGCGAAUGUUAUUCGGAUUUACUGGGCGUAAAGAGCGCGUAGGCGGAUAUGCAAGUCGGGUGUGAAAGCCCGGGGCUUAACUCGGGAACGGCGUUUUAUACUACUUGUCUUGAGUGUGGUAGAGGGGGGUGGAAUUCCCGGUGUAGCGGUGAAAUUCGUAGAUAUCGGGAGGAACACCAGAGGCGAAGGCGACCCCCUGGGCCAUACCUGACACUCAGAUGCGAAAGCUUGGGUAGCAAACAG
RNAcentral lists this ribosomal RNA (251 nucleotides) under uncultured prokaryote. RNAcentral describes it as "partial 16S rRNA". It matches the Rfam family "Bacterial small subunit ribosomal RNA", at positions 525 to 775 of the family's 1533-position model. The record is from RNAcentral.